CCAAUAGCGUAUAUUAAAGUUGUUGCAGUUAAAAAGCUCGUAGUUGAAUUUCGGGAUCAAUCUAUCGGUCGUGCAAUAGUACGUACUGAUUUUAUUGAUUCCUCCCUUCUGAUGAACUAUGAUGUCAUUAAUUUGGUGUCAUAGGGACUCAGGACUGUUACUUUGAAAAAAUUAGAGUGUUUAAAGCAGGCUCACGCUUGAAUACAUUAGCAUGGAAUAACGAAAUAGGACGUUUGAUUCUAUUUUGUUGGUUUCUAGGAUCGACGUAAUGAUUAAUAGGGAUAGUUGGGGGCAUUAGUAUUCAAUUGUCAGAGGUGAAAUUCUUGGAUUUAUUGAAGACUAACUACUGCGAAAGCAUUUGCCAAGGAUGUUUUCAUUAAUCAAGAACGAAAGUUAGGGGAUCGAAGACGAUCAGAUACCGUCGUAGUCUUAACCAUAAACUAUGCCGACUAGGGAUCGGAUGAUGUUAAUUUUUUAAUGACUCAUUCGGCGCCUUACG
RNAcentral lists this ribosomal RNA (499 nucleotides) under uncultured Glomeromycotina. RNAcentral describes it as "partial small subunit ribosomal RNA". It matches the Rfam family "Eukaryotic small subunit ribosomal RNA", at positions 591 to 1092 of the family's 1831-position model. Lineage: Eukaryota; Fungi; Glomeromycota. The record is from RNAcentral.